This 432-nucleotide ribosomal RNA is filed under the name uncultured bacterium. Its description in RNAcentral is "partial 16S ribosomal RNA". It matches the Rfam family "Bacterial small subunit ribosomal RNA", at positions 29 to 507 of the family's 1533-position model. The record is from RNAcentral.
GCGAACGCUGGCGGCAGGCCUAACACAUGCAAGUCGAACGGAUCCUUCGGGAUUAGUGGCGGACGGGUGAGUAACACGUGGGAACGUGCCCUUUGGUUCGGAACAACUCAGGGAAACUUGAGCUAAUACCGGAUGCGCCCUUCGGGGGAAAGAUUUAUCGCCAUUGGAGCGGCCCGCGUCUGAUUAGCUAGUUGGUGAGGUAACGGCCCACCAAGGCGACGAUCAGUAGCUGGUCUGAGAGGAUGAUCAGCCACACUGGGACUGAGACACGGCCCAGACUCCUACGGGAGGCAGCAGUGGGGAAUCUUGCGCAAUGGGCGAAAGCCUGACGCAGCCAUGCCGCGUGAAUGAUGAAGGUCUUAGGAUUGUAAAAUUCUUUCAGCGGGGACGAUAAUGACGGUACCCGCAGAAGAAGCUCCGGCUAACUUCGUG